RNAcentral lists this transfer RNA (73 nucleotides) under Vicugna pacos (alpaca). RNAcentral describes it as "tRNA-Ala (AGC) (tRNA-Ala-AGC-31-1)". It matches the Rfam family "tRNA". Rfam says of the family: Transfer RNA (tRNA) molecules are approximately 80 nucleotides in length. Their secondary structure includes four short double-helical elements and three loops (D, anti-codon, and T loops). The record is from RNAcentral. Lineage: Eukaryota; Metazoa; Chordata; Mammalia; Artiodactyla; Camelidae.
GGAGGGUAUAGCUCAGUGGUAGAGUGCAUGCCUAGCAUGCAUGAGGUCCUGGGUUCGAUCCCCAGUACCUCCA